GGGCGGUUGGCUCAGCUGGUCAGAGCGUCUGCCUUACACGCAGAAGGCCAGAGGUCCGAAUCCUCUACCGCCCA
This 74-nucleotide transfer RNA is filed under the name Planctomycetota bacterium. Its description in RNAcentral is "Planctomycetes bacterium (groundwater metagenome) tRNA-Val". It matches the Rfam family "tRNA". Rfam says of the family: Transfer RNA (tRNA) molecules are approximately 80 nucleotides in length. Their secondary structure includes four short double-helical elements and three loops (D, anti-codon, and T loops). Lineage: Bacteria; Pseudomonadati; Planctomycetota. The record is from RNAcentral.